UGCCAUGUAGCUCAGUUGGGAGAGCAAUCUACAAAAGAUAUGUCGGUGGUUCGAUUCUGCCCAUGGCAA
This 69-nucleotide transfer RNA is filed under the name Herelleviridae sp. Its description in RNAcentral is "tRNA-Leu". It matches the Rfam family "tRNA". Rfam says of the family: Transfer RNA (tRNA) molecules are approximately 80 nucleotides in length. Lineage: Duplodnaviria; Heunggongvirae; Uroviricota; Caudoviricetes; Herelleviridae. The record is from RNAcentral.